Molecule: ribosomal RNA, 1259 nt
Filed under: metagenome
Description: bacterial SSU rRNA
Rfam family: Bacterial small subunit ribosomal RNA
Source: RNAcentral
GAUGCUCCAGUUGACCGCAUGGUCCUCUGGGAAAGCUUUUGCGGUAUGGGAUGGGGUCGCGUCCUAUCAGCUUGAUGGCGGGGUAACGGCCCACCAUGGCUUCGACGGGUAGCCGGCCUGAGAGGGCGACCGGCCACAUUGGGACUGAGAUACGGCCCAGACUCCUACGGGAGGCAGCAGUGGGGAAUAUUGCACAAUGGGCGCAAGCCUGAUGCAGCGACGCCGCGUGCGGGAUGACGGCCUUCGGGUUGUAAACCGCUUUUGACUGGGAGCAAGCCCUUCGGGGUGAGUGUACCUUUCGAAUAAGCACCGGCUAACUACGUGCCAGCAGCCGCGGUAAUACGUAGGGUGCAAGCGUUAUCCGGAAUUAUUGGGCGUAAAGGGCUCGUAGGCGGUUCGUCGCGUCCGGUGUGAAAGUCCAUCGCUUAACGGUGGAUCCGCGCCGGGUACGGGCGGGCUUGAGUGCGGUAGGGGAGACUGGAAUUCCCGGUGUAACGGUGGAAUGUGUAGAUAUCGGGAAGAACACCAAUGGCGAAGGCAGGUCUCUGGGCCGUCACUGACGCUGAGGAGCGAAAGCGUGGGGAGCGAACAGGAUUAGAUACCCUGGUAGUCCACGCCGUAAACGGUGGAUGCUGGAUGUGGGGACCAUUCCACGGUCUCCGUGUCGGAGCCAACGCGUUAAGCAUCCCGCCUGGGGAGUACGGCCGCAAGGCUAAAACUCAAAGAAAUUGACGGGGGCCCGCACAAGCGGCGGAGCAUGCGGAUUAAUUCGAUGCAACGCGAAGAACCUUACCUGGGCUUGACAUGUUCCCGACAGCCCCAGAGAUGGGGCCUCCCUUCGGGGCGGGUUCACAGGUGGUGCAUGGUCGUCGUCAGCUCGUGUCGUGAGAUGUUGGGUUAAGUCCCGCAACGAGCGCAACCCUCGCCCUGUGUUGCCAGCACGUCGUGGUGGGAACUCACGGGGGACCGCCGGGGUCAACUCGGAGGAAGGUGGGGAUGACGUCAGAUCAUCAUGCCCCUUACGUCCAGGGCUUCACGCAUGCUACAAUGGCCGGUACAACGGGAUGCGACCUCGUGAGGGGGAGCGGAUCCCUUAAAACCGGUCUCAGUUCGGAUUGGAGUCUGCAACCCGACUCCAUGAAGGCGGAGUCGCUAGUAAUCGCGGAUCAGCAACGCCGCGGUGAAUGCGUUCCCGGGCCUUGUACACACCGCCCGUCAAGUCAUGAAAGUGGGUAGCACCCGAAGCCGGUGGCCCAACC